GCGGUUCUGCGCGGUGCGCGCUCUAGCAAUUAUCCCUGAGGCUAUAAAUACAUCCAAGGGAGCUGUCCCUGUUCGAAUUCUGGUUCGAUGCAUACGGCGCCCACCUGACGUUUGGGCGUCAGUGGAUAUUCAAGCAAACGGCCUGGCAGCGGUUCCGCC
Molecule: small RNA, 159 nt
Filed under: Zymomonas mobilis
Lineage: Bacteria; Pseudomonadati; Pseudomonadota; Alphaproteobacteria; Sphingomonadales; Zymomonadaceae
Also listed under: 1 other name
Description: 6S / SsrS RNA
Source: RNAcentral